RNAcentral lists this long non-coding RNA (4020 nucleotides) under Pongo abelii (Sumatran orangutan). Its description in RNAcentral is "lncRNA (ENSPPYG00000000108.3)". The record is from RNAcentral. Lineage: Eukaryota; Metazoa; Chordata; Mammalia; Primates; Hominidae.
UCUUCCAAGGUAACUUUGUGAAGCUUGACCUGGACUUGCCUAGCCUUGGAGGGACCACAACAGGGAGGCCUAAUAGAUUAUGAACUAAUCCCUCAAAAAGGGCUACUUGCCCAGGAGGAGGAAGUGGGCAUCUCCUUCCAUGGUCCCUGCCUGGCGGGGCUGUUCAGGGAGACUGAGUUCUGAGCUCAGGACGUCUGGCAGGCUGGCUGUGACUUCCAGCCACCAUCACCAGGACACUGGUGUGGGCUGCAUGCCUCAGUGAGCCAGGAGAGGCACGGCUUCUGAGAUGGGUAGAGGCUUCCCACAAAGGCCUGGGAACCUGAUCCUGGCCAUAAGUCUGAAAGUACCACAGCCCUCAGGAGAACCAAGAGAUAGGGAGGCAGGCUGGGGAAAUGUCAUCAAUGCACACCCAGGCCUGGUGGAGCUGGUCAGCCCCAGCUGGAGUGAGACCCCAUCAAGAUGGAGCCUUUCCUGGCACCUCUGGGAGGCCGUUCUGCGUUUCCACCGUUCAUGCAUCUGAAAUACCAAGGGCCGUGUUCCUUCUGGUGCUUGUCCUUUUGAGCUUGGUGUUUCAGCCGUGUCUGUUUUGUAGACUUUGAUUUUGUCUUAAAUGAGAAAGAAAGCUGGUGAAGGUUAUUUCAAAGUUAAAUAGCUAGUCUGAGGGGCUUAUCACUGAAGCCAGUUGUGCUUAUGUGGGGUGGGAGUGUCACUGCCUACUUGAAAGUAUCCACUUGUGUGGAACAGAUUCAGGGUGGCCCCUAGCACUUGGGGCUGCAGGAGCUUCUGCACACUUUCCCUUUAACGGUAAAGAGACAAGCUUGGAGUGUUUAAGUGGUUCGUUCAAGAGCACAGUGAUAGUGGUGACAAAGGGGAUUUGAACCCAUGUCUAUGUGGCUCCAAAGUUCACUCUUUCAUCACUCCCUGCUGCGUCCUUCUUGAGGCUUUAGCAUAUUUAGUGCAUUUUGUGCCCCUAGACCUCAGAGUUGACAUUUAGCAGUGAUAAACUGCUGUGAAUCCAAAGAACGUUUAGUGUCUCUUGUGGUGAGGUCCUGAAAUGAUUAUUGUAUUAGUCAAACAGAAUGAUCAUGGAGCAUGUAUGGAGAUGUCAGAUGCAAUCCCUGUAUUGUAAGGCAAUGACAUUUAAUGAAGGAUAAGAUGAAUUCACAGAUAACUAGAACUCAGGGCCAAACGCGCACAGCCUGUAGCAACAGUGUCAUGCUGAGAUUUAAAGGAAGAAGAGGUGCCGUGGCAGAAGUCCACGUGUGACCGUCCCCUCCCUGCACGCAGCCAGGAUGAGAGGAGCAGAGCUGAGCGCCACCUCCCUGUCGGUGCCACAGCUGAGGUGAGGAGCUCUUGCCGGAUGGUGGGGUGGGGGCGGCAGGGCAGAUUGAAGUCAGGGAUUCUCUUAUACCUGAGUUUGGAAUGCCUCCUAUUCAAACAAAGCAAAAUAUCUAACAGAUGGUUGGAUAUGAGUCUCAAGGAGGAAUUCACUUUGAAAAGCACAGAAUUAACGUAUAUUGCUUGUAUGAAGAAUCUCGGCUAGAAUAACAAGGUCGGAUGGGAGGAAUGAGGACUGAUUUGAAGAAUGAUGUACUAAAUCAUUCUUUCCUUUUCCUCCUUAGCAGAUCAUGCCGCCAGCUGCUUAACACGUAAUAGUUUAAAAAUGGUUUCUUCUUACCUCUGAGUGAGGGUAAGCCCAUGCAGGGAGAUGGGUGAGUCUUUGAAAUGGAUAGAGUGUCAUCUCUGAUGAUCAGCCUUGACAGGGAGGGAUCCUAGUAAAGCUGCAAGUUCAGGCACUCAGUUCCCAGCCCUCCAGUUAUCAAGGGGGUGGGAACGCUGGGGGGCUGGAAAAUGUGGAACAGACCUGCUCCUUUUCUUUUCCCGCCAAUUACCGUAUUCAUAGAAGGUUGUGUCUGUGUAUCACACCUGUGUGUGUGCUGAUGGCGGAUGCUUGUGUAGCAUAGUGACUUGGGACAAAACAGCAUGGUAGAUGAGGCUGGAGGCGGGUGGGCUAAGUAAACAGGCAUUGCAUUGCACAUUUUGUGGGCAAAGAAGUUGAAACAUCGCAUGAUUUUAACAAACUACUUGCCACAUGAUUUCAACACACUGCAAAAUUUAGAAUCAAUAAUGCCAAAUUGGCCACAUGAUUUAUAUAAAACCAAGUGCUAUGGUUUUUAUAUUAUCUUUAGAGGAGAAACCAUUUUGAUCUGUGUCAAAUAACUCUUUUUUUUUGAGACAGAGUCUCACUCUGUCGCUUGAGCUGGAGUGCAGUGGUGCUAUCUUGGCUCACUGUAACCUCCGCCUCCUGGGUUCAAGUGAUUCUCCUGCCUCAGCCUCCUGAGUAGCUGGGAUUACAGGCACCCACCACUGCGCCCAGCUUAUUUUUUGUAUUUUUAGUAGAGGCGGGGUUUCACCAUGUUGGCCAAUCUGGUCUCGAACUCCUGACCUCAUGAUUUGCCUGCCUCAGCCUCCAAAAGUGCUGGGAUUACAGGCGUGAGCCACCACGCCCAGCCCCCAAAUAACUCUUGAACUGGAAAAUAACUCUUUAGCUAUAUACUGGCAGAAUAUUUGAACAACUCUAGCAAGAAAUGUCAGUUUAGGGAUGCCUCCUCUAAUGGGGGCUUAGAAUAUAACAUUUUGCAGGAAGUCCUUUCUGAUACAUAGCUGACUAGAUGAAGGACCAGAUUAACAAGUUCAUGAGUUGUAAAUAUAAAAGUUGUGUACCACGAUAGAAAAAGAAGUAUGGCUGCUCUGUUGAUGGCUGGUCAAAUAGCCCCCAAGAAUCCUGGGGUGACUCCAAUACUGCCACCUUUUCUCUGUGGGUGCAGUUGCCUGCGAAUGUGAGUGUGUGCACAUCUGUGCCUCAGUAUGCACACUCGAGAUGCCCGCUCUCAUAGACGGUGCAGAGCGUCACUGCAUUCCUAUCUGAUUAAUGUGGCCUUAGUGUUGUAGAUACACUGUGUCACUUUCAUCCUCCCUCCUCCCCACAAAAGAUGCCACGAGAACCUGUGAACUGUGAUAAGCAAUGAACAGAAUAACCGUUGAAGAAGCACCUCAUGAACCUCCCCAGAGAAACGGGAUGGAGGAGCACCCAGGGUGCUCUUGCCCUCUCAUCUGUGCUGCCAUUUCCUUCCAGCCUGGGUUUCUAGCUCUUUGGGGAGAUUCCCCGUUUUGUGGAAUGCUUUCUGUGUUUCCUACUUCUGGAUGCCUAAGGAGUGGCCAGUCAUACUCCUGGCUGACCGCUGCCAGGCACCGUGGUUUUCCUCACUGAACUCAAGGAGUCACCCUCCGUGGGGAGGCCGCACUCACAGCUCCAGGCCUGCCGUUUAGCCCUUGGGGCUUGGCUGUAAAGUUGCCCAAGAGGAUUACAGGAGCUGCCAGCCAAGUUUAAUUUGGCCACCUUAGAGGACUGCAGCAAGGUCCUAUCAGCUUCCCAUCAGACAAACAACUGCAUUUCAAUUAAAUGAAGUUUGCACCUCUAGGGAGUGCUGACCUGAAAAUAAGAGCCUUCUGUCUGUGAUUAUAGAGCACACUUGCUUUUAUUAAUUGCUGAUUCUUAGUUUACAAAAAAAAAUUAGAAAAGCAUUACCAUUUACUUUCCAAGGGGCAAGAGAUUCUCUACAAUACCCUUCCCCCAACCCUGUCCUCAAAUUUCCAAAUCCUAAAUACUUUGAAGAAAUUUGUGUGACUGUUUAAAAUUGAGUAUUUCCUUCUAACUAUUGUCUUUUGAAAAGGGAUGGUUCACCAGGCCAGUGAUACUCUCUGGACCGCAUUUUGGGACCUCUGCCCCAGCAAGGAUACAGGUUCCUGGGGGUCUUGAAGAUGGGAAAAGUUGUCUCAGAAUGUACCCAAAUGUCGUUCUCACCAUAAAAGAUAUACUUGUAGAAAUGAGAAGCUUCAAUAUAACGCAAAACACUGGACACAGCAAUAACUAUAAAUAUUUUAAUUUCAAAAACAAAGGUGUGUGCGAUGUUGUGUGCACAGUAAGGGUUGCGGGGCUUGGAGAACAAGCACGCGUCC